UGGGGAAUCUUGCACAAUGGGGGCAACCCUGAUGCAGCGACGCCGCGUGAGCGAUGAAGGUUUUCGAAUCGUAAAGCUCUGUCCUAUGGGAAGAUAAUGACGGUACCAUAGGAGGAAGCCCCGGCUAACUACGUGCCAGCAGCCGCGGUAAUACGUAGGGGGCGAGCGUUGUCCGGAAUUACUGGGCGUAAAGGGCUUGUAGGCGGUUGGCCGCGUCUGCCGUGAAAUCCUCUGGCUUAACUGGGGGCGUGCGGUGGGUACGGGUUGACUUGAGUGCGGUAGGGGAGACUGGAAUUCCUGGUGUAGCGGUGGAAUGCGCAGAUAUCAGGAGGAACACCGGUGGCGAAGGCGGGUCUCUGGGCCGUUACUGACGCUGAGGAGCGAAAGCGUGGGGAGCGAACAGG
Molecule: ribosomal RNA, 404 nt
Filed under: Verrucomicrobiota bacterium
Lineage: Bacteria; Pseudomonadati; Verrucomicrobiota
Description: Verrucomicrobia bacterium partial 16S ribosomal RNA
Rfam family: Bacterial small subunit ribosomal RNA
Source: RNAcentral